CGAGCCUGAAAGGGUGAGGACAAACCGGGCGAGCAACCUCUCAGUAUCAGAUCUUGCAGACUUCCACUGCGUGUCCCUCUGUACAGCUUUGCAGGCUCCGGCCUCGGCAGCGGGGGGUUCAUAGUGGUCGUCGACCUCCACGAAACUGCACGCUCCGGCGUGACAGCGUACUGGGGAUGCCUGUGUAGAUGCAGUCCGGGCUUGCCUGGACCGCUAGCAGAUGGGCUCUGUGGAUGACUGGCCGCUGGCUAGACCUGAAACCUGAGCAACGGGAGGUAACCUCUCGCCGCGGACACCGGAAUGGUAGAAGCGGCGUGCUGCGUCCUCCUCUUGGGGCCCCUAAGCCACACCUCCCACAGCGGGUUCGGUGCGGCGGACGGACGCCCUGGGGAAUUUAGAGGGGGAAAGCGGAUUGCCCUAGCGGUGUUGUUGGCCCUGCCGACCUCACUGCGAAAGGCGCGAC
Molecule: unclassified non-coding RNA, 463 nt
Filed under: Fusarium oxysporum
Lineage: Eukaryota; Fungi; Ascomycota; Sordariomycetes; Hypocreales; Nectriaceae
Description: partial contains 28S ribosomal RNA, 28S-18S ribosomal RNA intergenic spacer, and 18S ribosomal RNA
Source: RNAcentral